UACGUAGGGCGCAAGCGUUGUCCGGAAUUAUUGGGCGUAAAGAGCUCGUAGGCGGUCUGUCGCGUCGGCUGUGAAAACCCGAGGCUCAACCUCGGGCCUGCAGUCGAUACGGGCAGACUAGAGUGCUGUAGGGGAGACUGGAAUUCCUGGUGUAGCGGUGAAAUGCGUAGAGAUCAGGAGGAACACCGGUGGCGAAGGCGGCCCACUGGGCCGAGCACUGA
Molecule: ribosomal RNA, 221 nt
Filed under: uncultured bacterium
Lineage: Bacteria
Description: partial 16S ribosomal RNA
Rfam family: Bacterial small subunit ribosomal RNA
Source: RNAcentral